RNAcentral lists this long non-coding RNA (271 nucleotides) under Malus domestica (apple). RNAcentral describes it as "long non-coding RNA (MDOM_LNC006820)". Lineage: Eukaryota; Viridiplantae; Streptophyta; Magnoliopsida; Rosales; Rosaceae. The record is from RNAcentral.
CAUGAGCUUAAAAGGCGACACUCAAUGCUUCUUGUACGCAUGAGAUUAAAAGGUGACACUCAACGCUCCUGGCCCGCAAGAGCAUAAACUGUGUACGGUAAAAUCACCAUCAAAAUCAGCAUUAAAACCAUCAAAACCAUAAAAAAAAACAAUCCAUCAUUUCCUUUGAACUACAUUAUGACUUUAUCCCUCCUCAAUUGAGGGUACGUAGGCAACUUGAAACUUCAAAACUUUAAGUACAGUCACAUCACCAACAAAAAAAAAUGCAAAC